This 429-nucleotide ribosomal RNA is filed under the name Actinomycetes bacterium. RNAcentral's name for it is "Actinobacteria bacterium partial 16S ribosomal RNA". It matches the Rfam family "Bacterial small subunit ribosomal RNA", at positions 355 to 776 of the family's 1533-position model. The record is from RNAcentral. Lineage: Bacteria; Bacillati; Actinomycetota; Actinomycetes.
UAGGGAAUCUUCCGCAAUGGGCGAAAGCCUGACGGAGCAACGCCGCGUGAGUGAUGAAGGUCUUCGGAUCGUAAAACUCUGUUAUUAGGGAAGAACAAAUGUGUAAGUAACUAUGCACGUCUUGACGGUACCUAAUCAGAAAGCCACGGCUGACUACGUGCCAGCAGCCGCGGUAAUACGUAGGUGGCAAGCGUUAUCCGGAAUUAUUGGGCGUAAAGCGCGCGUAGGCGGUUUUUUAAGUCUGAUGUGAAAGCCCACGGCUCAACCGUGGAGGGUCAUUGGAAACUGGAAAACUUGAGUGCAGAAGAGGAAAGUGGAAUUCCAUGUGUAGCGGUGAAAUGCGCAGAGAUAUGGAGGAACACCAGUGGCGAAGGCGACUUUCUGGUCUGUAACUGACGCUGAUGUGCGAAAGCGUGGGGAUCAAACAGG